CAGAGGUUACUGCUAUSGAASRYUCGACUAAGCCAUGCGAGUUGAAUGUUCUUCGUGAACAUGGCGGACUGCUCAGUAACACGUGGACAACCUACCCUUGGGUCCGGCAUAAUCCUGGGAAACUGGGAAUAAUUCCGGAUAGGUCACCGAUGCUGGAAUGCGCGGUGGCCGAAAGCUCCGGCGCCCGAGGAUGGGUCUGCGGCCUAUCAGGGUUGUAGUGGGUGUAACGUACCUACUAGCCUACGACGGGUACGGGUUGUGAGAGCAAGAGCCCGGAGAUGGAUUCUGAGACACGAAUCCAGGCCCUACGGGGUGCAGCAGGCGCGAAAACUUUACAAUGCGGGAAACCGUGAUAAGGGGAUCUCGAGUGCCAGCAUAUAAUGUUGGCUGUCCAGAUGCCUAAAAAGCAUCUGUUAGCAAGGGCCGGGCAAGACCGGUGCCAGCCGCCGCGGUAACACCGGCGGCCCGAGUGGUAACCGCUAUUAUUGGGUCUAAAGGGUCUGUAGCCGGCCAGGUAAGUCCCUUGGGAAAUCUGGCAGCUCAACUGUCAGGCUGCUAGGGGAUACUGUUUGGCUUGGGACCGGGAGAGGUGAGAGGUACCUUGGGGGUAGGGGUGAAAUCUUGUGAUCCUCGAGGGACCACCAGUGGCGAAGGCGUCUCACCAGAACGGGUCCGACGGUAAGGGACGAAAGCUAGGGGCACGAACCGGAUUAGAUACCCGGGUAGUCCUAGCCGUAAACGAUGCUCGCUAGGUGUCAGUCACGGUGCGACCGUGAUUGGUGCCGUAGGGAAGCCGUGAAGCGAGCCACCUGGGAAGUAUGGCCGCAAGGCUGAAACUUAAAGGAAUUGGCGGGGSAGCACURCAMCGGGUGGAGCCUGCGGUUUAUUG
This 889-nucleotide ribosomal RNA is filed under the name uncultured Methanosaeta sp. Its description in RNAcentral is "bacterial SSU rRNA". It matches the Rfam family "Archaeal small subunit ribosomal RNA", at positions 18 to 907 of the family's 1478-position model. The record is from RNAcentral. Lineage: Archaea; Methanobacteriati; Methanobacteriota; Methanomicrobia; Methanotrichales; Methanotrichaceae.